UACAUGGGUGCAAACGUUGCUCGGAAUUAUUGGGCGUAAAGCGCACGUAGGCGGUUUGUUAAGUCGGAUGUGAAAUCCCUCGGCUCAACUGAGGAAGUGCAUCCGAAACUGGCAGGCUUGAGUACUAAAGAGGGUCGCGGAAUUCCCGGUGUAGAGGUGAAAUUCGUAGAUAUCAGGAGGAACACCGAUGGCGAAGGCAGCUCGCUGGGACGGUACUGACGCUGAGGCGCGAAAGCGUGGGAGCAACA
RNAcentral lists this ribosomal RNA (248 nucleotides) under uncultured bacterium. Its description in RNAcentral is "partial 16S ribosomal RNA". It matches the Rfam family "Bacterial small subunit ribosomal RNA", at positions 524 to 773 of the family's 1533-position model. The record is from RNAcentral.